GGCUUCGGUGCCUCCUCCUUAUGCUUGGCUGGCAAUAAAAACUGCACAGUGACCAUCUUUCCCCCUGGAAGCACCCACAGUCACUGAAAGAGUUUAUUUAGCACUGUAACUGUUGUAUGUUAUUACUAUUAAUGACCAAUUAUAUACACAUACAACUGAUAGAUUUGCAUGUACAGUAGUUAACUAAUGAGCUUAUCAUGAUCUAGUUAGUUGCAUACAGUUACAUAGGAUCGACA
Molecule: unclassified non-coding RNA, 236 nt
Filed under: Hevea brasiliensis (rubber tree)
Lineage: Eukaryota; Viridiplantae; Streptophyta; Magnoliopsida; Malpighiales; Euphorbiaceae
Source: RNAcentral